ACGGCCCCACGCUGGCCGGCGGCACCCCCGAGUGCAUCUCCAACUACAUGGACGCGCAAUACUACGGCGCGGUGUCCAUCGGCACCCCUCCCCAGUCCUUCCUCGUCGUCUUCGACACCGGCAGCAGCAACCUGUGGAUCCCGAGCGCGAAGUGCUCGUUCCUCCAGAUCCCGUGCGACUUGCACCAAAAGUAUAGAUCCGGCGACUCGAGCACGUACAAAGCCCUGGGCGAUCCGUUCGCCAUCCAGUACGGCAGCGGGUCGCUCUCGGGGUUCCUCUCCCAGGACACCGUGACGUGGGCGGGCCUCGAGAUCAAGGACCAGGUGUUUGCGGAGGCCACCAAGGAACCCGGCAUCGCGUUUCUGUUUUCCAAGUUCGACGGCAUCCUCGGCAUGGGCUGGGACACCAUCUCCGUCAACGGAGUCAAACCCCCGUUCUACAACGCCGUGGACCAGGGCCUCGUCGUCG
RNAcentral lists this long non-coding RNA (468 nucleotides) under Micromonas commoda. RNAcentral's name for it is "long non-coding RNA (MCOM_LNC000399)". Lineage: Eukaryota; Viridiplantae; Chlorophyta; Mamiellophyceae; Mamiellales; Mamiellaceae. The record is from RNAcentral.